GGACGGGUGAGUAACGCGUGGGUAACCUACCUUAUACCGGGGGAUAACAGUUAGAAAUGACUGCUAAUACCGCAUAAGCGCACAGUAUCGCAUGAUACAGUGUGAAAAACUCCGGUGGUAUAAGAUGGACCCGCGUCUGAUUAGAUAGUUGGUGAGGUAACGGCCCACCAAGUCAACGAUCAGUAGCCGGCCUGAGAGGGUGAACGGCCACAUUGGGACUGAGACACGGCCCAAACUCCUACGGGAGGCAGCAGUGGGGAAUAUUGGACAAUGGGGGAAACCCUGAUCCAGCGACGCCGCGUGAGUGAAGAAGUAUUUCGGUAUGUAAAGCUCUAUCAGCAGGGAAGAAAAUGACGGUACCUGACUAAGAAGCCCCGGCUAACUACGUGCCAGCAGCCGCGGUAAUACGUAGGGGGCAAGCGUUAUCCGGAUUUACUGGGUGUAAAG
This 447-nucleotide ribosomal RNA is filed under the name uncultured bacterium. RNAcentral describes it as "bacterial SSU rRNA". It matches the Rfam family "Bacterial small subunit ribosomal RNA", at positions 100 to 565 of the family's 1533-position model. The record is from RNAcentral.